This is a long non-coding RNA of Felis catus (domestic cat), 2024 nucleotides long. RefSeq lists it as uncharacterized. The record is from RefSeq and is a predicted model, not a curated record. The transcript is spliced from 2 exons. Lineage: Eukaryota; Metazoa; Chordata; Mammalia; Carnivora; Felidae.
AGCGCAGUCACGCGGGGGCGCCACUAGGAGGUACCUUCCCCGCCCGGGACCUCGGAAGCUCCCAGGCUCCUCCCACUUCGCUCUUUGUUCCCGCCCUCGCUCCGCCUCUCCCCUGAUGCGAUCGCAACUGCACCUCUCGCGAUACCUUAGCGGAGUUGUGAUGUUUUGGUUUCCAUGGAGCUGCCGUCUGGGAGUAGGAGGGGUGCGGUUGCGCCAAGAGCUGCGCAUUGUUGAACUAGAACUCGAGCAAGAUCCCGAGCCUGAGAAAGGUGGGGGGCUUGUGAGAGAACUCCACCAUCAUCUGGACAGGAGGGGCCCGCACUAGGGAGGGAGAGGAGGAAACCAUGAGAAACAACGUAAAAGGGGUGCCCUCUGUCUGAGAUCCCUAAAAAGAGGGGGGGACUGUAGGAUCGUUGACCUCCAGAGAGAAAGGGGGAAGCCCCAGAAACAGGAUCCCUGUGUUGAGAAAGAGGGAUGCUAGAGUGAUGACAGCCGCUCCGGGACGAAGUAGAAGAAUACUAAGGCGAGGCUCUCCACCCCUUACAGUCUUUCCGCUCUGGUGGCCUCCCUCAGAGUGCGAUGCAGUUGGCCCAAGGCCUGCUUCCUACUUUGUGUUCCCAGUUGCAACCCCAGCUUCUCUUGCAGACAACCAGCUGGGCUUUCCCGGCUGCCCCUGCCCCCUCCCACCCCCACCCCACCCCCCAAGGCAAGCCACACCCUCCUGGCUACUCUGCCUCUCUUCAGCUUUCAGCUUGGCACACAUAGGGGCUGCCCAAGGAAUUAUGAACUUCUUGUUCUUGAGACUUUGGCAAAACUUCCUGCAAUACUGACCUUUCCAAGCGCCUGCCCCGUAGAUGCUCCUGGGCUUAGAUUAUUUUUGGUUCUGCCAACCACCUAUACAGUACUAAUUGCAGUUUCCCUUCAACGUGCAUUUUUUUAACAAUUGAGGACGCACUUAGAGUUUCUAAAUCCCUGGCCCAACAAAAUUUACUGUCUCUGAAACCCAAAUCCAGCCCCUUUCUUGGGGGGGCUGCCCAAAGAUGCGUGUUAAUCAAAGGUUUAGGCUCUGGGGUCAGAAAACUAAGUAUGGUUCAAAAUCCCUGUCCCACAUUAUUUACUAGUUAUAUAACGUUGGACUUACCACUGAACUUCUCAGGGCCUCACGUUCCUCAGUUGUACAACCAGGUCAUUGUGAGGAUCAAAAACAGUACCUGGAAGGCUCUGCUAUUCCCUGAGACACAGGAAACAAUAUUGGAACUAGGCCAAUUUAUAACCCUACAAUGGCCUCUAAGUGUCCAAGUGAAAGGAAGAGCCAAAUGUCUCUCGCUUUAAAUCAAAAGCUAGAAAUGAUUGAGCUCAGUGAGGAAGGCUUGCCAACGGCUGAGAUGGGCCGAAAGCUAGGCCUGUUGUGCCAGUUAGCCAAGUCGUGAAUGCAAAGGAAAAGUUGUCGAAGGAAAUUGAAAAGUGCUACUCCAGUGAGCACAUGAAUAAGAAGAAGGCAAAAUAGCCUUAUUGCGGAUAUGGAGAAAGUUUGAGUGGUCUAGAGAGGAGAUCAAACCCGCCGCGACAUUCCCUUAAGCCAGAGCCUAAUCCAGAGCAAGGCCCUGGCUCUCUUCAUUUCUAUGAAGGCUGAGAGAGGGGAGGAAGCUGCAGAAGGAAAGUCUGAAGCUGGUAAAGGUUGGUUUAUGAGGUUUAGGGAAUGACGCCAUCUCCAUAGCAUUGAAGUGCGAGGUGAGGCAGCAAGUGCUGAUGUAGAAGCUGCAGCAAGCCUUCCAGAAGAUCUAGCCAUGGUAACUGAUGAAGGUGGCUCCGCUGAACAACGGAUUUGCAACGUAGAUGAAACAGCCUCCUAUUGGCAGAAGAUGGCAUCUAGGACUUUCAUAGCUAGAGAGGAAAAGUCAAUGAUCAGCUUUGAAGCUUCAAAGGACAGGCUGACUCUCUUGUUAGGGGCUAAUGCAGCUGGUGACUUGCAGUUGAAGCCAAUGCUCAUUUUUGUUCCAAAAAUCCUUGAAAACUAUGCCAAA